This 197-nucleotide ribosomal RNA is filed under the name uncultured bacterium. RNAcentral describes it as "partial 16S ribosomal RNA". It matches the Rfam family "Bacterial small subunit ribosomal RNA", at positions 328 to 539 of the family's 1533-position model. The record is from RNAcentral.
ACGCUCGACACCUACGGGAGGCAGCAGUGGGGAAUAUUGCACAAUGGGGGAAACCCUGAUGCAGCGACGCCGCGUGAGUGAAGAAGUAUUUCGGUAUGUAAAGCUCUAUCAGCAGGGAAGAAGAUGACGGUACCUGAGUAAGAAGCCCCGGCUAACUACGUGCAGCAGCCGCGGUAAUCUGAGCGGGCUGGCAAGGC